UGCUCCCCCCCAAAAAAAAAAAGGAGAGGAAAAAGUUUUGCUGAAAUGCAUUAAGUAUGUAUGCACUCAUACAUAGAAUUUCACUACAGGAUGAUCCUUCAGCAACUUAAUUUAUAUUUUUUGGAGAGCUGUAUAUGACCAAAGGUUAUGAACCUCUCUUGCAGUGAGACUUUACAGUCUCUUCAAUAGAGCUUGUGCUGAACUAGACUGGAGAUGAGGGAGGAUGAUAACUUACUGUUUUGCACUCUAACUGGGGAUUGACAGGCAGGUUUUCAACAUCAGCCAAAAAGCAAUCAGCAAUUAUAAAUUGUAUAGUGUGACAAAGACCAUGCUGUGCACAUAUGGACUGCUCUGGCUGCACACUAUCUCCUCGCCAAGAGUUAAUGAGAUAAUUUUUUUCCUUGGAGGCUAUGCAACUGCUAAAGCCAAGAGCAAAGACAGCCUCUGCACAGGCAGUACCUCCCACAGAGCAGGCCCCUGAAACAAAACAUUAUCUAGCUGUAGACUGCAGCUCAGCAACUACAGCCAAGACAGGCUCCUCCUCUCUCUGACAGUAACUGCUCACAAGUGGGACGUGUUAUGUGAAUGAGAGCAGUUCCAGGGCUUGUGUGAAUACUACUGAGGCUGCUUACAUCCCUUCAACACAUCACUGACACAAAGGCAAAGAAGUUUGAGGACUCAGCAACAGAAAAAUUGCCAUUUGCCAAAAGAGUAAAGUUCCUUUCUGUAAGGCAGCAUCAUGGUGAACAGCCAGUCAUCACCAGAAUGCAAUAUUUAUUCAGCUCAGGUUCUUAGGAAGACAGCAAAGGUGGGAGAAAUCAAGUCCUCCUAUGGAAGGUAAACACAAAGAAGGGAUGGCAGAUCUAAAAAUUUGGAUAAAUUUAACCAAGCAGAAAGUAGCCAGUAUGUGAUCUGCAACCACUGAGGACUUGUGAGGCAGACUAAGAGGUCAAGGCAGAGUAAGAGGCCCUACUGGAUCCACUGGAGAAAUUCUGGCUUUCAUGUUUGUUUGAGGUACUUGCCUAAGAUAAAAGGUAAAUUUGAUAAUCUCUUCAUGUUAGUUUGGAAGAAUUCAAAGCAUCAAAUGGAAAAAAAAACAAAAAAAACAACCCACAACAAAACCAAAAAACCCCAAACCAAUAACCAAACACCACAAUAAAGUAAUAAAAAAAAAACUAGUAGAAAAGUUAAAUCAUAUGCAGAUGCCAGUUUGCAUGAGAAAAGUAAAUGCCAUGCUUUUAUAAAGGCUUUCUGAUGCAGAAGUAGUGUACCGUGCAUAGUCAAAACACUAAGAGUCCAACUACCUCUCACUUCAAUCACAGUUCAUAAACAUGCUGUAUGUAUCUUCUUCUUUUCAGGAAUAGUGCUUGGCUAUGCCUAUCAUGUACUACAGAAAGAGAAUAUAUUCAGUGAAAUAACUCCAACUGCACAUCUCUAGUUCAAAUGUAGAUCUCUAUCAUUUCACAGUAUUCUCCAACUGUGGAGAUUCGAUAGAGCUCUAUGUUGGACUCCAUUCAAUUCUGCACAUUUUCUGAUGACAGAAAUAAUAAAUGACAACCAAUGUUUGGAACUAACAGAAAGCAGUCAUGCUGUUGGCUCAGUACAACGUCCCCAUGUAUCAGCAGAGAGAUUCCGCUUCUGAGAGUAAGCCAUAAACUCUCCACGUUAUUCAAUGCUGUAGACAUAAUGUAAUUACCAUUCCACCUAACCUGAAAAAAAGCAAACAACUGCUUUGUAUUUCAGAUUUGAGCACUAUGGUUUAUGUCCCACCAUAUUUUAGAACAGUUUUAGUAACCAAGGUAUGGACAGAAAUAACUUUCAUUUACUGCAUAUGACAAUAUUUCUUUAUAACUUUAUAGUGUGGAAUAUGUCAAUGAGUCUCACAGACUUUUAGAAAUUGGCACUGCAGAUUCUGUGGUUGUUGGUGAAUGGUAAGUAGAAAGCACAAGAGCACAAAACAAUUAUUUUCCCCCUACAUUGCCUUAAAGUACUGUCUGUUGUUGUCUACUAUGCAAAUACAGCUCAAAAUACUGGAAAAACAGCUCAAAAUAUUGUGUCUGAACAUUCAAACAGGGAAUGUCCAGCAAGCGCAGGUUGCACUAUGAUUGAUACCUCACUACUGUGGGAAUUAGCUGCACGUCAGAGGCCCAGAAGACUACACACUGCCAUAAGCUGAGAGCUGCUAUUAAACUCCAAAUAUCAGCAUCCAAGAACUUUGCAAAUACACCUGCCACUGCAAAAAAGAAGAGUCAAGGUUUUACUCAUAAGUUAAUUCAAACUGACCUAUUAAAGACUUUCUCACUUAAUCUUCCACAUUCCUAUACUGAGUCACUCAAAAAUAGAAAUAGUAAUUUUUGGCAAAGUUCAGAUUUAUAAAUCAUCUAAAUAACAUCAUAAUCUUCACUUUAACUAAAGUUUUGACUUUUUACAGUUUUGUUCAAGUACGUUUUUGUGUCUUCUCUCCCAGACAGGAGUUCACUGGCCACAGAUGAGAACAGGAGCUUGUUCUCCAUGUUCCUGAAACAUUCCAGCACCACCUGGCAUCUCUCCCUGCCAAAAUACCCUGUUGAAGUUGAAAAUACCAAAGCUAAUACUUUCAGAAGAUAUAAAACUGUCACUUUUUGGUUUGUACACUGACACAGAGGCAUGAGAGGAAGGACUAUCUGGAACAGCUACAACAGAAUUCUCUUCCAACAUAAUCCAUGUUUAUGUAGAAACUUGGAGCCAAGAAAUUAAGAGAGAUAAGGGAAAAAAGCUCAUUGUGCCCUUCAGAGUUAAUAUCACAGGCUGUUUCCGAAGCAGAACUGUCAUCUUGGACUUCACAUAUGAGCUCUGUUUCCCUCAAAAAUGAUAUCUUGAAGUGUAAAUUAACAAUCAUCCGAAUAUGUAGAUUUAUUUCAGUAAAAAACCUGAUAUGCAGAGGUACUCUUAAGACAAAAGAUAACACGAUGAGGAAACAAGCAUGUUACAGUAUCUCUGGUAACCUAUAAGCUAUCUGCAUUUUAAGUAGAGAUUUACUGAAACAUAAAAGUAGUUCACAAUUUGAUUUUCAUUACACUGAUUGAUUAAAAGAGAAAAAAGAACCUCAGU
Molecule: non-coding RNA, 3090 nt
Organism: Meleagris gallopavo (turkey)
Lineage: Eukaryota; Metazoa; Chordata; Aves; Galliformes; Phasianidae
Source: RefSeq, a predicted model, not a curated record